This 416-nucleotide ribosomal RNA is filed under the name uncultured bacterium. RNAcentral's name for it is "bacterial SSU rRNA". It matches the Rfam family "Bacterial small subunit ribosomal RNA", at positions 355 to 787 of the family's 1533-position model. The record is from RNAcentral.
UGGGGAAUAUUGCACAAUGGGGGAAACCCUGAUGCAGCAACGCCGCGUGAAGGAAGACGGUUUUCGGAUUGUAAACUUCUGUUCUUAGUGAAGAAUAAUGACGGUAGCUAAGGAGCAAGCCACGGCUAACUACGUGCCAGCAGCCGCGGUAAUACGUAGGUGGCAAGCGUUGUCCGGAAUUACUGGGUGUAAAGGGAGCGCAGGCGGGAGACCAAGUCAGCUGUGAAAACUACGGGCUUAACCUGUAGACUGCAGUUGAAACUGGUUUUCUUGAGUGAAGUAGAGGUUGGCGGAAUUCCGAGCGUAGCGGUGAAAUGCGUAGAUAUUCGGAGGAACACCGGUGGCGAAGGCGGCCAACUGGGCUUUAACUGACGCUGAGGCUCGAAAGUGUGGGGAGCAAACAGGAUUAGAUACCC